RNAcentral lists this ribosomal RNA (1652 nucleotides) under Salmonella enterica subsp. enterica serovar Enteritidis. RNAcentral's name for it is "bacterial LSU rRNA". It matches the Rfam family "Bacterial large subunit ribosomal RNA", at positions 1295 to 2925 of the family's 2925-position model. Lineage: Bacteria; Pseudomonadati; Pseudomonadota; Gammaproteobacteria; Enterobacterales; Enterobacteriaceae. The record is from RNAcentral.
UGCUGACAUAAGUAACGAUAAAGCGGGUGAAAAGCCCGCUCGCCGGAAGACCAAGGGUUCCUGUCCAACGUUAAUCGGGGCAGGGUGAGUCGACCCCUAAGGCGAGGCCGAAAGGCGUAGUCGAUGGGAAACGGGUUAAUAUUCCCGUACUUGGUGUUACUGCGAAGGGGGGACGGAGAAGGCUAUGUUGGCCGGGCGACGGUUGUCCCGGUUUAAGCGUGUAGGUGUGUGUUCCAGGUAAAUCCGGUUCACUUUAACACUGAGGCGUGACGACGAGGCACUACGGUGCUGAAGCAACAAAUGCCCUGCUUCCAGGAAAAGCCUCUAAGCAUCAGGUAACAUCAAAUCGUACCCCAAACCGACACAGGUGGUCAGGUAGAGAAUACCAAGGCGCUUGAGAGAACUCGGGUGAAGGAACUAGGCAAAAUGGUGCCGUAACUUCGGGAGAAGGCACGCUGACACGUAGGUGAAGUGAUUUACUCAUGGAGCUGAAGUCAGUCGAAGAUACCAGCUGGCUGCAACUGUUUAUUAAAAACACAGCACUGUGCAAACACGAAAGUGGACGUAUACGGUGUGACGCCUGCCCGGUGCCGGAAGGUUAAUUGAUGGGGUCAGCGCAAGCGAAGCUCCUGAUCGAAGCCCCGGUAAACGGCGGCCGUAACUAUAACGGUCCUAAGGUAGCGAAAUUCCUUGUCGGGUAAGUUCCGACCUGCACGAAUGGCGUAAUGAUGGCCAGGCUGUCUCCACCCGAGACUCAGUGAAAUUGAACUCGCUGUGAAGAUGCAGUGUACCCGCGGCAAGACGGAAAGACCCCGUGAACCUUUACUAUAGCUUGACACUGAACAUUGAGCCUUGAUGUGUAGGAUAGGUGGGAGGCUUUGAAGUGUGGACGCCAGUCUGCAUGGAGCCGACCUUGAAAUACCACCCUUUAAUGUUUGAUGUUCUAACGUGGACCCGUUACCCGGGUUGCGGACAGUGUCUGGUGGGUAGUUUGACUGGGGCGGUCUCCUCCUAAAGAGUAACGGAGGAGCACGAAGGUUGGCUAAUCCUGGUCGGACAUCAGGAGGUUAGUGCAAUGGCAUAAGCCAGCUUGACUGCGAGCGUGACGGCGCGAGCAGGUGCGAAAGCAGGUCAUAGUGAUCCGGUGGUUCUGAAUGGAAGGGCCAUCGCUCAACGGAUAAAAGGUACUCCGGGGAUAACAGGCUGAUACCGCCCAAGAGUUCAUAUCGACGGCGGUGUUUGGCACCUCGAUGUCGGCUCAUCACAUCCUGGGGCUGAAGUAGGUCCCAAGGGUAUGGCUGUUCGCCAUUUAAAGUGGUACGCGAGCUGGGUUUAGAACGUCGUGAGACAGUUCGGUCCCUAUCUGCCGUGGGCGCUGGAGAACUGAGGGGGGCUGCUCCUAGUACGAGAGGACCGGAGUGGACGCAUCACUGGUGUUCGGGUUGUCAUGCCAAUGGCACUGCCCGGUAGCUAAAUGCGGAAGAGAUAAGUGCUGAAAGCAUCUAAGCACGAAACUUGCCCCGAGAUGAGUUCUCCCUGAGACUUAGAGUCUCCUGAAGGAACGUUGAAGACGACGACGUUGAUAGGCCGGGUGUGUAAGCGCAGCGAUGCGUUGAGCUAACCGGUACUAAUGAACCGUGAGGCUUAACCUU